AUGUGGCGGGAGACCCACCCACAACCCGGAGGGGCCCGGGGCAGGUCCCAUUCCAAGCCCAGUCCAGCAAUGGGGAAGCACAGACAGAGUGGUUGCCUGCCCAGGGCUCUGUCUACACCGCACAACCCAGGGCUGCUCUGUCUACACCCACAACUGCAGGUCACUCUGUCUACACCUACACUUUGGGCCACUGUCUACACCCACACUCUAGACCACUCUGCCUACACCCAACAACUCUGGGCCACUGUGUCUACACCCCACAACUCUAGACACUCUGUCUACACCUAUACGCUGGACCGCUCGGUCGACACCCCUCAACGCUGGGGCCUCGCUGCGGCACCCCGACACCCUGCGCUGAGCACGGGGCCUGGGACGGGAAGGCGCCUGGCACUGCACCGGAGUUGCUGCAGUUGCUUCCAGAGUUGGGGUCUCUGGAGACGGCCUCUGGCCAAACAAUGCGGCCGCCUGCGAGGUCGGACAGGAAACUCGCGAGCCCGGGCGGCUCGGCCCGGACGACGUCCGAGCGGACGCGGUGGGCACGGCGGGCCCGCGCCCUCGGCCGCCAGCGCCCGACCCCGGCGCCGGCCCUCGAUCCCGCCCAGGCCCGGGCUGGCCCCGCGGCCGCCCCACGGCCCGGCCUGGAGUUGGGCCCGGGAACAAAAGGCGGGCGAAGGUGGCCGGCGGCCCCGAGCGCGGGACCCCAGGAGCCGGCCGCCCCAGCACCCUCCGCUCCGCAGGGCGGGGCGGGCCGCGGAGGGCGCGAGCGCGCGCCCGGGGAAGAAAGAAAGUGGAGGCGGGGCGGCCAGCGCCCGGCCCGCAACCUACCGGCCGCUCGCCCUCCGGCCGCGAUCCGCUCCGCCCGCGCGCCCAACGGUCGCCGCCGUCGCCGGGGGCCGAGGGGCGGGGCCGAGAGGGGCGGGGCUCUUCGGGGGCGGGGCCGCCUGGUGGGCGGGGCGGAGCUGCAGGACCAGGCCGUGCAAGGGGCGGUACCUCCUGAGAGGACGGGGCGGCCGUGGCGAAGCC
Molecule: long non-coding RNA, 1023 nt
Filed under: Sus scrofa (pig)
Lineage: Eukaryota; Metazoa; Chordata; Mammalia; Artiodactyla; Suidae
Description: lncRNA (ENSSSCG00070003918.1)
Source: RNAcentral